CAUGAAUUUUAGCACAGAUUUUAAUAUUGUGGUACAUAGCUUAGCACAGACUUCAAUACUUUAGCAUGGAUUUAAUACUCUAGCGUGGACUUUUAUUCUUUAUUACUUUAAUAUUUUAGCACAGACUUUAGCACAGACUUUAGCACAGAUUUAAUACUUUAGUAUCAACUUUAAUAUAUUAGCACAGACUUCAAUACUUUAGCCCAGACUUCAAUACUUUAGCACAGAUUUUAAUAUUUUGGUAUAUAUUUUAGCACGGACUUUAAUACUUUAGCAUGGAUUUAAUAUUCUACCAUGGACUUUUAUUCUUUAUUACUUUAAUAUUUUAGCACAGAGUUUAGCACAGACAUUAAUACUUUAGCACAGAUUUAAUACUUUAGUACCAACUUUAAUAUUUUAGCACAGAAUUAAUACUUUAGUACCAACUUAAAUAUUUUAGCACAGACUUCAAUAUUUUAGCACCAUCUUUAGCCCAGACUUUAAUAUUUUAGCACCGACUUUAGCACAGACUUCAAUACUUUAGCACAGACUUUAAUAUUUUGGUACAUAGUUUAGCACAGGCUUUAAUACUUUAGCAUGGAUUUAAUACUCUAGCAUGGAUUUUUAUUCUUUAUUACUUUAAUAUUUUAGCACAGGCUUUAAUACUUUAGCAUGGAUUUAAUACUUUAGCCCAGACUUUAAUAUUUUAGCACCGACUUUAGCCCAGACUUUAAUACUUUAGCCCAGACUUUAAUAUUUUGGUACAUAGCUUAGCACAGGCUUUAAUACUUUAGCACGGACUUUAGCAUGGAUUUAAUACUCUAGCAUGGACUUUAAUGCUUCAGCAUGGACAUUUAUUCUUUAUUACUUUAAUAUUUUAGCACAGACUUUAGCACAGACUUUAAUACUUUAGCCCAGACUUUAAUACUUUAGCCCAGACUUUAAUAUUUUAGCACCGACUUUAGCACAGACUUUGAUACUUUAGCACAGAUUUUAAUAUUUUGGUACAUAGCUUAGCACAGGCUUUAAUACUUUAGCAUGGAUUUAAUACUCUACCAUGGACUUUAAUACUUCAGCAUGGACUUUAAUUCUUUAUUACUUUAAUAUUUUAGCACAGACUUUAAUACUUUAGCAUGGAUUUAAUACUUUAGCCCAGACUUCAAUAUUUUAGCACCGACUUUAGCCCAGACUUUAAUACUUUAGCACGGAUUUAACACUUUAGUACCAAUUUUAAUAUUUUAGCACUGACUUUAGCACGGACUUUAAUACCUUAGCACAGACUUUAAUACUUUAGCAUGGACUCAAGCACAAACUUUAAUUUUUAGCACAGACUUUAAUAUUUUAGCACAGAUUUUAGCACGGGCUUUAAUACUCUUGCACAGAUUUUAGGCCAGACUUUAAUAUUUUAAUACAUAGUUUAGCACAGACUUUAAUACUUCAGUGCAGAGUUUAAUACUUUAAUGUGGCCUUUAAUACUUUAGCAUGGACAUUAAUACUUGUUAAAUGCAGAUUUUAAUACUUUAGCACGGACUUUAGGAUGGAUUUGAACACUUUAGCAUGGACUAAAGCACAAAAUUUAAUAUUUUAGCACAGACUUUAGGCCACACUUUAAUAUUUUGGUACACAGUUUAGUAUGGAGUUUAAUACUUUAAUGUGGACUUUAAUACUUUAGCACAGAUUUUACCAUGGGCUUUAAUACUUUAGCACAGAUUUAAUACCUUGGCAUGGACUUUGAUACUUUAGCAUGGAAUUUAAUACUUCAGGACAGACUUUAGCAUGGAUUUUAAUACUUUGGCAUGGACUUUAGCACGGGUUUUAAUAUUCCAGGCCAGACCCAAUGUGGUGGUUUGACCACGAAGAAGUGGGAAUUCUGGGAUGUUGU
This 1861-nucleotide long non-coding RNA is filed under the name Zonotrichia albicollis (white-throated sparrow). Its description in RNAcentral is "lncRNA (ENSZALG00000001228.1)". Lineage: Eukaryota; Metazoa; Chordata; Aves; Passeriformes; Passerellidae. The record is from RNAcentral.